RNAcentral lists this ribosomal RNA (253 nucleotides) under uncultured bacterium. Its description in RNAcentral is "partial 16S ribosomal RNA". It matches the Rfam family "Bacterial small subunit ribosomal RNA", at positions 524 to 776 of the family's 1533-position model. The record is from RNAcentral.
UACAGAGGGGGCAAGCGUUAUUCGGAAUUAUUGGGCGUAAAGGGCGCGUAGGCGGCCAGGCAAGUGGAAGGUGAAAUCCCUCGGCUUAACCGAGGAACUGCCCUCCAAACUGCUUGGCUUGAGACCGGGAGAGGUGAGUGGAAUUCCCAGUGUAGCGGUGAAAUGCGUAGAUAUUGGGAGGAACACCAGUGGCGAAGGCGGCUCACUGGACCGGUACUGACGCUGAGGUGCGAAAGCGUGGGGAGCAAACAGG